RNAcentral lists this ribosomal RNA (404 nucleotides) under uncultured bacterium. RNAcentral's name for it is "bacterial SSU rRNA". It matches the Rfam family "Bacterial small subunit ribosomal RNA", at positions 362 to 758 of the family's 1533-position model. The record is from RNAcentral.
UUUUGGACAAUGGGCGCAAGCCUGAUCCAGCAAUGCCGCGUGCAGGAAGAAGGCCUUCGGGUUGUAAACUGCUUUUGUACGGAACGAAACGGUCCUGGUUAAUACCUGGGGCUAAUGACGGUACCGUAAGAAUAAGCACCGGCUAACUACGUGCCAGCAGCCGCGGUAAUACGUAGGGUGCAAGCGUUAAUCGGAAUUACUGGGCGUAAAGCGUGCGCAGGCGGUUUUGUAAGACAGGCGUGAAAUCCCCGGGCUUAACCUGGGAAUGGCGCUUGUGACUGCAAAGCUGGAGUGCGGCAGAGGGGGAUGGAAUUUCGCGUGUAGCAGUGAAAUGCGUAGAUAUGCGGAGGAACACCGAUGGCGAAGGCAAUCCCCUGGGCCUGCACUGACGCUCAUGCACGAAA